CCCUAUGGGUUGUAAACUGCUUUUAUACACCAAGAAAAAGCACGNCNUGUGGUGGUCUGACGGUAGUGUAUGAAUAAGCAUCGGCUAACUCCGUGCCAGCAGCCGCGGUAAUACGGAGGAUGCAAGCGUUAUCCGGAUUCAUUGGGUUUAAAGGGUGCGUAGGCGGCUUUUUAAGUCAGUGGUGAAAUCCUGCCGCUUAACGGUAGAAUUGCCAUUGAUACUGAAGAGCUUGAGUCCAGUUGAGGUAAGCGGAAUGUGUAGUGUAGCGGUGAAAUGCUUAGAUAUUACACAGAACACCAAUUGCGAAGGCAGCUUACUAAACUGGCACUGACGCUGAUGCACGAAAGCGUGGGGAGCGAACAGGAUUAGAUACCCUGGUAGUCCACGCCGUANAC
This 395-nucleotide ribosomal RNA is filed under the name uncultured Bacteroidota bacterium. RNAcentral describes it as "bacterial SSU rRNA". It matches the Rfam family "Bacterial small subunit ribosomal RNA", at positions 414 to 807 of the family's 1533-position model. The record is from RNAcentral. Lineage: Bacteria; Pseudomonadati; Bacteroidota.